CCCGGGGAAAGGCAGAUGAAUUCGUGGAGAGUGAGGUUUGAGAGGUGGCUCUGUGGUAUAUCCACAGGACUCAGAGUCAGGUCUGAGCAGUUUACUGCUGACCGAGCAGAGGGGAGCAUAAACCACGAGUGGAUGCAGCCGGGUCUGUGCAUGUGGGGCGCCCACCUACCUCAACCCCGACUCUGCACAGCUGCUGCUGCUGCUGCCGCCUUAAUAGCAGGAGAAGGAAUUGGAGAGGGAGGUGGGUGGUUCCGGAAGAUGAAGACUUUAGCAAAGCCCAGGAGUGUGCCCGGAACACAGAUUAGUCUUCCGGAUGUGCCUUUGAUCUUGUACGGGUGACUUAACAGGGAUUACUGUUUUGAGAAGCACACCCUGAAAUUCAGACUCCGGUUCUUAGAGAUUGUAGCCUGUGAUCCGCGUCUUUCUUUCUCCAUCC
RNAcentral lists this long non-coding RNA (436 nucleotides) under Rattus norvegicus (Norway rat). RNAcentral describes it as "long non-coding RNA NONRATT009724". Lineage: Eukaryota; Metazoa; Chordata; Mammalia; Rodentia; Muridae. The record is from RNAcentral.